GUGGGGUUGUUUUUGUCCAAUCAGGACGUGCAAUACACAGACAUCGAUUACCUGGAGCGCCAGCUGGACUUCAAGCUGAGCCCGCGCUUCUCCGGCCUGCCGGAACUCAUCAACAAAAUCCGGGCGGAAGGCAUGAGAUACAUCCCCAUUCUGGACCCGGCCAUAUCAGCAAAUGAAACCGAUUACCUCGCUUUCACCAGGGGAAGGGAGAAGGACGUCUUCAUCAAGUGGCCCAACUCCGAGGACAUCAUCCUUGGGAAGGUCUGGCCAGAUUUCCCCAACAUCGCGGUCAAUGACUCCGUCGACUGGGACACGGGAGUCGAGAUUUUUGUCUGAAUUUCU
Long non-coding RNA from Lagopus leucura (white-tailed ptarmigan), 342 nucleotides. RefSeq lists it as uncharacterized. The record is from RefSeq and is a predicted model, not a curated record. The transcript is spliced from 4 exons. NCBI's taxonomy places the organism in Eukaryota, Metazoa, Chordata, Aves, Galliformes, Phasianidae.